GUGGUUUUUUGUGUUUUGUUGAAAUUUAAAUUUGGCAUUCAACUUCUGCCUGGAUUGGUCGACACUCCUUUAUUGAUGACUGUAUUAAUGGCUUGAACUGCGAAGAAACAUAUCACACUCUUGCUGUUCCGAUAACUGUGAAAGCGUAAACCCAUUCGCGUUCAGUGUAUCACAAAACUUGGAGGCAAAAUCAAAACCAAGC
This is a long non-coding RNA of Teleopsis dalmanni, 202 nucleotides long. RefSeq lists it as uncharacterized. NCBI's taxonomy places the organism in Eukaryota, Metazoa, Arthropoda, Insecta, Diptera, Diopsidae. The transcript is spliced from 3 exons. The record is from RefSeq and is a predicted model, not a curated record.